This 426-nucleotide ribosomal RNA is filed under the name uncultured bacterium. RNAcentral describes it as "bacterial SSU rRNA". It matches the Rfam family "Bacterial small subunit ribosomal RNA", at positions 356 to 773 of the family's 1533-position model. The record is from RNAcentral.
GGGGAAUUGUUCGCAAUGGGCGCAAGCCUGACGACGCAACGCCGCGUGGAGGACGAAGAUCUUCGGGUCGUAAACUCCUGUCGAGCGGGAAGAACGCUUCCCGGGUGAAUAUCCUGGGGAAUUGACGGUACCGCUAAAGGAAGCCCCGGCUAACUCCGUGCCAGCAGCCGCGGUAAUACGGGGGGGGCAAGCGUUGUUCGGAAUUACUGGGCGUAAAGGGCGCGUAGGCGGCCCGCUAAGUCGAACGUGAAAUCCCCGGGCUCAACCCGGGAACUGCGUCCGAUACUGGCGGGCUUGAAUCCGGGAGAGGGAUGCGGAAUUCCAGGUGUAGCGGUGAAAUGCGUAGAUAUCUGGAGGAACACCGGUGGCGAAGGCGGCAUCCUGGACCGGUAUUGACGCUGAGGCGCGAAAGCCAGGGGAGCAAAC